This is a non-coding RNA of Globicephala melas (long-finned pilot whale), 1441 nucleotides long. The record is from RefSeq and is a predicted model, not a curated record. NCBI's taxonomy places the organism in Eukaryota, Metazoa, Chordata, Mammalia, Artiodactyla, Delphinidae.
CGUACCGCUGGGUGUGCAGUCGGGCUACUGGCCCAGAGAGGGUCUGCGAAUCGUUCCAAGCCACACAGCGAGGCAGGGGAAGGGUUCUCCUGGGUAGGACCUGCAGCACUGGGGAAACGUCAUUCCAGCUCAGAUCUCUGCGGGGAAACCGCCGAACAGCAGCUCCGAACUGUCUCUCGCUAUGGACUUGUGGACCCUCAGACUGUGUGACCACUUCUCGCCUUUAUCAAGGCGACACAUACAGCUGUGCUAGAUACUCCAGACAAGCUCUCAAGUGUGCUCUCCUGUUCUGUGUCUCUUGCCCAAAGUCCCCGGGCCCCUGGUUGAUCUUGCUGCUGUUUCUCAUCUGCUGUGUAUCCAGGGAGGCACUGGACAGCUGAAGGUGAUCAGAGCUGUCAGGCUGAAAUUAUUAGCAACUAGCUCUUGGUCAGCUAAGAAACAUGCCCGGAGGCUGCAGAUGCAGUCAAGAGGAGCCAAGCCAGACCUUCAAACGCUUUGCUUAGAAAUUUCAGCUAAACAUCCAGUGUCGUCACUUGCAAGAUGGGCCUUCCACAGAACUCUGAAACAGGAACAUCGUUCAGCCAAGUUCUUUGCCACUUUACACUAAGGAUCACCUUUCCUCCAAUUUCCAAUGUUCUUUAGUUCCUUCUGAGACCUCAUCAGAACGGCCUUUACCAUCUGUAUUUCUACCAACAUUCUAUUCACCACCACUUACGUAUUCUCUAAGAUAUAGCUCUCCUCCUCUUCUGAGCCUUCACUCAAAUCACCUCUGAAGGUCCCUUCAAGGCCAUGUAGGCUUUUUCUAGCAUGCAUCUCAAAACUCUUCUGGCCUCUACCCAUUAUGUGGUUCCAAAGCCACUUUCACAUUUUUCGGUUUAUUACAGCAGUACCUACUUCUUGGUACCAAUUUCUGUCUUAGUCCACUUGGGCUUCUGUAACAAAAAAUACUAUAAGAUGUGUGACUUAAACAACAAACAUUUUUUUCUCACAGUUCUGGAGGCUGGGAAGUCCAAGAUCACAGUGCCAGCAGAUUUGGUGUCUGGUGAGAACCCGCUUCCUGCUUCACAGACUGUCAUCUUCACACUGUGUCUUCACAUGGUGGAAGGAGGGCACGAGAACUCUCUGGGGUAUCUUUUAUAAGGGCACUAGUACCAUUCACGAGGGUUCCAUCCUCAUGACCUUAUCACCUCCCAAAGGCCCCACCUCCUAAUACUAUCACAUUGGGGUUUAGGAUUUCAAUGUAUGAAUUUUGAGGGGACACAAACGUCCAGUUCAUAGCAGCCUCCUCACAGGCACUUGGUAUUGCCAGUGUUUGUAAUUUUAGUUAUUCUAGUAGGUGUGUGGUGUUAUAUUGUGAUUUUAAUUUCCAUCUGGUAUCAUUUUCCUAUUGCCAGAAUAACUUUCUUGUGUGUAUCUGCUGAUGAAGAAUUCUCAUGGCUUU